Molecule: unclassified non-coding RNA, 405 nt
Filed under: soil metagenome
Description: partial contains 5.8S ribosomal RNA, internal transcribed spacer 2, and large subunit ribosomal RNA
Rfam family: 5.8S ribosomal RNA (bases 1-121)
Source: RNAcentral
GAUGAAGAACGUAGCGAAAUGCGAUAAGUAAUGUGAAUUGCAGAAUUCAGUGAAUCAUCGAAUCUUUGAACGCACCUUGCGCCCUUUGGCCAUUCCGAAGGGCAUGCCUGUUUGAGUAUCAUGAACACCUCAACUCUUUAUGGUUUUCCAUGAUGAGCUUGGACUUUGGGGGUUUUGCUGGCCUAUGGUCGGCUCCUCUAAAAUAAAUCAGCUUACCGGUGUUUGGUGGGUAUCAUGGGUGUGAUAACUAUCUACGCUUGUGGUUUUUCCACCAGGUAACCUUCGACAGCGGAGGUUCACUGGAGCUCAUAGAUGUCUCUCCUCAGCGAGGACAGCCCUUUGAAUGUUUGAUCUCAAAUCAGGUAGGACUACCCGCUGAACUUAAGCAUAUCAAUAAGCGGAGGA